This 253-nucleotide ribosomal RNA is filed under the name uncultured bacterium. Its description in RNAcentral is "partial 16S ribosomal RNA". It matches the Rfam family "Bacterial small subunit ribosomal RNA", at positions 524 to 776 of the family's 1533-position model. The record is from RNAcentral.
UACGGGGGGGGCAAGCGUUGUUCGGAAUUCCUGGGCGUAAAGGGCUCGUAGGCGGCCAACUAAGUCAGACGUGAAAUCCCUCGGCUUAACCGGGGAACUGCGUCUGAUACUGGAUGGCUGGAGUUUGGGAGAGGGAUGCGGAAUUCCAGGUGUAGCGGUGAAAUGCGUAGAUAUCUGGAGGAACACCGGUGGCGAAGGCGGCAUCCUGGACCAAUACUGACGCUGAGGAGCGAAAGCCAGGGGAGCAAACGGG